This 253-nucleotide ribosomal RNA is filed under the name uncultured bacterium. RNAcentral's name for it is "partial 16S ribosomal RNA". It matches the Rfam family "Bacterial small subunit ribosomal RNA", at positions 524 to 776 of the family's 1533-position model. The record is from RNAcentral.
UACAGAGGGUGCGAGCGUUGUCCGGAAUCACUGGGCGUAAAGGGCGCGUAGGCGGCCUGGCAAGUCUGUGGUGAAAGCUCGUGGCUCAACUGCGAGUCGGCCAUAGAUACUGCGAGGCUCGAGUCGACUAGAGGCAGAUGGAAUUCCGGGUGUAGCGGUGGAAUGCGUAGAGAUCCGGAAGAAUACCCGUGGCGAAGGCGGCCAGCUGGGCCAGAUCCGACACUGAGGCGCGAAAGCCAGGGGAGCGAACGGG